AUGGAGAUGGAGAGCCUCCCUUGAUUUUGGUAGCCAAGAAUGACUUGCCUAUGCUUGCCCUCUGCUAACCAGCUAGCCAUGCAUGGUAACCAAUGGACAAAUUUCUUGUGGUUGGCGUGGUUAGUGUGGUUGCAUGGGUGGGUCUUCUUGGCUAGCCAGAGCGGCUCUCAUCCACCAUGCCAGGCCA
Molecule: microRNA precursor, 187 nt
Filed under: Brachypodium distachyon (stiff brome)
Lineage: Eukaryota; Viridiplantae; Streptophyta; Magnoliopsida; Poales; Poaceae
Source: RNAcentral